GGAUGAUUGAUCGUGCCCGCCAGCUGCCUAAUAUCAUAAUUAACGAAGUUGCUACCGUGUCUGAGAAGUUUAAUCGAAAAAAAUUGCCAGCAGGAUGAUGCCAUUGUUGACCACAAAGAUCACAAGCAUGGCAGAGUCGACUUUUGGUCUAAUGGAGCUACAGAACUAUGUGGGCAGAAUGAGAAGAAGGGCAGAUGCGUGGCUGAU
Molecule: long non-coding RNA, 207 nt
Filed under: Salvator merianae (Argentine black and white tegu)
Lineage: Eukaryota; Metazoa; Chordata; Lepidosauria; Squamata; Teiidae
Description: Rhabdomyosarcoma 2 associated transcript conserved region 6 (ENSSMRG00000011429.1)
Rfam family: Rhabdomyosarcoma 2 associated transcript conserved region 6
Source: RNAcentral